GACGAACGCUGGCGGCGUGCUUAACACAUGCAAGUCGAACGGACAGGCCCUGCUUUGGUGGGGUGGUCGAGUGGCGAACGGGUGAGUAACACGUGAGUACCCUGCCCUUGACUUAGGGAUAACUUCAGGAAACUGGGGCUAAUACCGGAUAGGAGCUCCUGCUGCAUGGUGGGGGCUGGAAAGUUUCGGCGGUUGGGGAUGGACGCGCGCCUUGUCAGCUCGUUGGUGGGGUAGUGGCUUACCAAGGCUUUGACGGGUAGCCGGGCUGCGAGGGUGACAGGCCACAUCGGGCCUGGAAUGAGGCCCAGACUCGUACGGGAGGGAACAGUGGGGAAUAUUGCACAAUGGGCGGAGCGCUGAUGCAGCAACGCCGCGUGGGGUGAGACAUCCAUCGGGUUGUAAUCCACUUUUGUCUGUGACGAGGCGUGAGUGACGGUAAUGGGUGAAGAAGCCCCGGCUAACUACGUG
This 468-nucleotide ribosomal RNA is filed under the name uncultured bacterium. RNAcentral describes it as "partial 16S ribosomal RNA". It matches the Rfam family "Bacterial small subunit ribosomal RNA", at positions 28 to 507 of the family's 1533-position model. The record is from RNAcentral.